Molecule: ribosomal RNA, 440 nt
Filed under: uncultured bacterium
Lineage: Bacteria
Description: bacterial SSU rRNA
Rfam family: Bacterial small subunit ribosomal RNA
Source: RNAcentral
CCUACGGGAUGCAGCAGUGGGGAAUAUUGGGCAAUGGGCGGAAGCCUGACCCAGCAACGCCGCGUGAAGGAAUAAGGCCUUCGGGUUGUAAACUUCUUUUAUUAGGGACGAAGGAUGUGACGGUACCUAAUGAAUAAGCCACGGCUAACUACGUGCCAGCAGCCGCGGUAAUACGUAGGUGGCAAGCGUUGUCCGGAUUUACUGGGUGUAAAGGGCGCGUAGGCGGGAAUGCAAGUCAGAUGUGAAAUCCAUGGGCUCAACCCAUGAACUGCAUUUGAAACUGUGUUUCUUGAGUGAUGGAGAGGCAGGCGGAAUUCCUAGUGUAGCGGUGAAAUGCGUAGAUAUUAGGAGGAACACCAGUGGCGAAGGCGGCCUGCUGGACAUCAACUGACGCUGAUGCGCGAAAGCGCGGGGAGCAAACAGGAUUAGAUACCCUAGUA